GAUGAACGCUAGCGGAAGGCUUAAUACAUGCAAGUCGAGCGGUAGGUGGCUUCGGCCAUUGAGAGCGGCGCACGGGUGAGUAACGCGUACAUGACCUGCCUGUCAGAAGGGGAUAGCCCUGGGAAACUGGGAUUAAUACCCUAUGGUAUUGAUAUUAUGAAUGAUAUCAAUUAAAGUUGAGGCGCUGACAGAUGGAUGUGCGUCUGAUUAGCUAGUUGGUAGGGUAACGGCCUACCAAGGCGACGAUCAGUAGGGGGCGUGAGAGCGUGGUCCCCCACACGGGUACUGAGACACGGACCCGACUCCUACGGGAGGCAGCAGUAAGGAAUAUUGGUCAAUGCCCGCAAGGGUGAACCAGCCAUUCCGCGGGGAGGAUGAAGGCCCUAUGGGUUGUAAACUUCUUUUAGAUGGGAAGAAAAUGCUAGAUGUAUCUGGUACUGACGGUACCAUCAGAAUAAGCACCGGCUAACUCCGUGCCAGCAGCCGCCGUAA
RNAcentral lists this ribosomal RNA (492 nucleotides) under uncultured bacterium. RNAcentral describes it as "partial 16S ribosomal RNA". It matches the Rfam family "Bacterial small subunit ribosomal RNA", at positions 28 to 523 of the family's 1533-position model. The record is from RNAcentral.